UAAGACGAACCGUGCGAACGUUGUUCGGAAUCACUGGGCUUAAAGGGCGCGUAGGCGGGUCAGCAAGUCCGGGGUGAAAUCUUUCGGCUCAACCGGAAAAGUGCCUCGGAUACUGCUGGUCUUGAGGGAGGUAGGGGUUUGUGGAACUUCUGGUGGAGCGGUGAAAUGCGUUGAUAUCAGAAGGAACGCCGGUGGCGAAAGCGACGAACUGGACCUCUUCUGACGCUGAGGCGCGAAAGCUAGGGGAGCAAACGGGAUUAGAUACCCCGGUAGUCCUAGCCCUAAACGAUGGGUACUAGAGAGUAGUCUUAUCAUGGGAUUACUCUCGAAGCAAAAGUGAUAAGUACCCCGCCUGGGGAGUAUGGUCGCAAGGCUG
This 376-nucleotide ribosomal RNA is filed under the name uncultured bacterium. Its description in RNAcentral is "bacterial SSU rRNA". It matches the Rfam family "Bacterial small subunit ribosomal RNA", at positions 521 to 896 of the family's 1533-position model. The record is from RNAcentral.